Molecule: ribosomal RNA, 298 nt
Filed under: uncultured Sphingomonadaceae bacterium
Lineage: Bacteria; Pseudomonadati; Pseudomonadota; Alphaproteobacteria; Sphingomonadales; Sphingomonadaceae
Description: partial 16S ribosomal RNA
Rfam family: Bacterial small subunit ribosomal RNA
Source: RNAcentral
UAACGCGUGGGAAUCUGCCCUGGAGUGGGGGAUAACCGAGGGAAACCUCGGCUAAUACCGCAUACGUCCCGAGGGAGAAAGAUUUAUCGCUCUAGGAGGGGCCCGCGUCGGAUUAGCUAGUUGGUGAGGUAACGGCUCACCAAGGCGACGAUCCGUAGAUGGUCUGAGAGGAUGAUCAGCCCCACUGGGACUGAGACACGGCCCAGACUCCUACGGGAGGCAGCAGUGGGGAAUAUUGGACAAUGGGGGCAACCCUGAUCCAGCAAUGCCGCGUGAGUGAUGAAGGCCUUAGGGUUGU